AUUGAACGCUGGCGGCAGGCCUAACACAUGCAAGUCGAGCGAGCGGCGGACGGGUGAGUAAUGUCUGGGAAACUGCCUGUUGGUGGGGGAUAACUACUGGAAACGGUAGCUAAUACAGCAUACUAUCGGAUGUGCCCAGAUGGGAUUUGCUGGUGGGUUGGGUAAAGGCUCACCUAGGCGACGAUCCCUAGCUGGUCUGAGAGGAUGACCAGCUACACUGGAACGGAGACACGGUCCAGACUCCUACGGUAGGCAGCAGUGGGGAAUAGUGCACAAUGGGCGCAGGCCUGAUGCAGCCAUGCCGCGUGGAUGAAGAAGGCCUUCGGGUUGUAAAGUACUUUCAGCGGGAAGGCGGUACCCGCAGAAGAAGCACCGGCUAACUCCGUGCCAGCAGCCGCGGUAAUAC
This 406-nucleotide ribosomal RNA is filed under the name uncultured bacterium. RNAcentral describes it as "partial 16S ribosomal RNA". It matches the Rfam family "Bacterial small subunit ribosomal RNA", at positions 30 to 526 of the family's 1533-position model. The record is from RNAcentral.